CUUGAUUAGAUAUCGGCUAUCCUUCCACGUAGAAGUUUCGUCCGUUUGUUAUAAUUCAAAAUUGGAAAGCUUAGUGAUUGCUGAUAUUUUGUGACAAAAGUACAAAGUUAUGGAGAUCCAGGCUGACAAUGGUUUCGUACCAAUUUCAAGAAUGAAUCACACGAAUCGAUCCAAGCAGCUCCUAGAACGUUUUGCCGCAAAAUUCCAGCAGGAACCUGCAUUUUAUGUUCGGGUGCCCGGAAGGGUCAACCUUAUCGGGGAGCACAUUGAUUAUUGUGGAUACAGCGUGUGCCCAAUGGCGUUAGAGCAAGAUAUUAUGUUAUCCGUGUCUAUUGGGGAUGGCGAGACGUUGAGGUUGACAAAUGUAGAUCCGUCGUAUGAGGAUUACGAGUGCGACCUUAGGAAGUUCGAAAUUUCCAUUGGGGAUGAAGCGCCGAAGUGGUAUCAGUACUUCUUAUGCGGCGUAAGGGGCCUCUUAGAUGUUUUACCAAAGGAAACCAGUAUUAAAGGUUUUAAUGUGGCGGUUAGCGGAAUUAUACCUCAAAGUGCCGGUCUCUCAAGUAGCAGUGCUUUAGUUAGCGCCGCGGCUUUGUCAACUUCCCACGUGCAUAAUUUCAACAUCUCCAAGAAGGAACUUGCUAAUUUAUGCGCGAGGUGUGAGCGGUACAUUGGUACACAAGGCGGCGGUAUGGAUCAAGCGAUUGCCUUUUUGGCAAACGAGGGAUGUGCGAAAUUGAUCGACUUCACCCCGUUGAGAUGUAAAGAUGUUUCUUUGCCCCCUGGAGCCGUGUUCGUGAUAGCCCACAGCCUAACACGUUUAAACAAAGCAGCCACGGCGGAUUUUAACUGUCGGGUUGUUGAGUGCCGCCUAGCAGCUCAGCUUAUUGCCAAGCAUCAGGGUAUCGAUUGGUUCACCGUAAAGACGCUCUCAGAUCUGCAGUCUGGUUUAAAGGGCAGUUUGCAUACGAUGAUUGCUUUGGUAAAAAAGAUACUGCACGAAAGCCCGUAUACUAAAGAGGAAAUUGUGGACGAAUUAAAAACAACGAGCGCAGUUUUGGACCAAACCUCGCUCACCCCAAACACUAAACACAUCGAAAGCUUCAAGUUACAUCAGCGAGCUUUACACGUUUUUGAAGAAGCGCUUCGGGUACAAAAGUUUCACGAAGCUUGUAAUAACUUUUCAUCCGAAGGAGCACUAGAAACCUUAGGUAAACUGAUGUCCGAAAGUCACAGCAGCCUGAGGGAUCUGUACGAAUGCAGCCAUCCCCAACUGGACACGCUCGUUGAAAUAUCCCAAAAUUUCUCAUUAGGAGCACGACUAACAGGAGCGGGUUGGGGCGGUUGUGCCGUUGCUCUGGUGACCGCCGAAAACGUUUCCAAUUACAUCGACGUGUUGAAAACAAAAUUCUACAGCCAGAUAGGCAUAGACAAUAACCUCGAUGGAUUAGUUUUCGCAACUAAACCGAAUGCGGGAGCACACAUCUACGUAAUCUAAAAAAAACCCUUUGGGGACUUUUAAAAUAACCGCUGGGAAAAUAUGAACUGACGUAGGUUGAUGUCGCGGAUUAUGUGGUUUUAUUUGAAACUUUUCAAAUAUAAUAACGUUAGAGUUUAACUUUUGCGGGGACAAAUAAUGAAAUUGGACAGUGCAGGCUGGUUAUUUAUUCAAACCGAAAACUUGUCGUUUUUAAUGUCGACUGAAGUUAAAAUAGACCGAAAUUUAUUCGACGGAAGGUUUCAUUAGAAGUAAUGCCAGUCUGAAAAUAAUUAAGUGCGCCAUCUAGCAAAAAAAGUGGAUGCGAAUUGUGAAAGAAUGCCGGAAAGCGAAAUUAAUCGGUUAUGUCGAGUUGUCUCCUGGGAACAGUAAUCUUAAAAAAGUUUGCGAGAUUUAUUGUUAAAGAAGACAGUUCGGUACACCACAAGAGUAUAUAAAUCAUUCUUCACAUAUGCUGUGGACAUGGAGGAGGAUAAUUUGAAGGUUUACGCCCACGUUGGUACUAUUCCAAAAUUAUGUUUUGUAUUCCAUAACUUUUAUAUUUUAUAAAUUGCUCUCUAUGUGUGACAGGCACCGUAACUUAAAUUGUUCCUUUAUAUAAUUAUUUCACACGCACCCUAUUAUGUAUAUUCAUAAUUUAUUAACUCACUGGAAA
Molecule: RNA transcript, 2150 nt
Organism: Photinus pyralis (common eastern firefly)
Lineage: Eukaryota; Metazoa; Arthropoda; Insecta; Coleoptera; Lampyridae
Gene name: N-acetylgalactosamine kinase-like
Exons: 9
Source: RefSeq, a predicted model, not a curated record